This 270-nucleotide ribosomal RNA is filed under the name uncultured bacterium. RNAcentral's name for it is "partial 16S ribosomal RNA". It matches the Rfam family "Bacterial small subunit ribosomal RNA", at positions 524 to 789 of the family's 1533-position model. The record is from RNAcentral.
UACGGAAGGUGCAAGCGUUGUUCGGAAUGACUGGGCGUAAAGCGCACGUAGGUGGGUCUGUAAGUCGGACGUGAAAGCCCAGGGCUUAACCCUGGAACUGCGUCCGAAACUGCGGAUCUUGAAUGCCCGAGAGGUUGGUAGAAUUCCUGGUGUAGCGGUGAAAUGCGCAGAUAUCAGGAGGAACACCGGUGGCGAAGGCGGGUCUCUGGGGAAACAACUGACGCUGAGGAACGAAAGCGUAGGGUAGCGAAACAGGAAUUAGAAACCCGU